GGUGAACGCUGGCUGUGUGCCUGAUACAUGCAUGUCGAGCGAAGUGAUUUAUCACUUAGCGGCGAAUGGGUGAGUAACACGUACUCAACGUACCCUUCAGUUUGGCAUAGCGGUUGGAAACAACCAAUAAUUCCAAAUACUCGUAGAUGCCGCAUGGCACUUACGGAAAAGACGCCUUAAAGCGUCGCUGGAGGAGCGGGGUGCGCAACGAUUAGCUAGUUGGUGAGGUAACGGCCCACCAAGGCGAUGAUGUUUAGCGAGGUUGAGAGACUGAUCCGCCACACUGGGACUGAGAUACGGCCCAG
RNAcentral lists this ribosomal RNA (305 nucleotides) under uncultured bacterium. RNAcentral's name for it is "bacterial SSU rRNA". It matches the Rfam family "Bacterial small subunit ribosomal RNA", at positions 28 to 334 of the family's 1533-position model. The record is from RNAcentral.